ACCAGGCGUGGUGGCGCACACCUGUAAUCCCAAUGACUCGGGAGGCUGAGGCAGGAGGAUUACAAGUUUGAGGCCAGCCUCAGCAAUUCAAUGAGACCCUCAGCAACUUAGCAAGACCCGGUUUCAA
This 127-nucleotide small RNA is filed under the name Marmota monax (woodchuck). Lineage: Eukaryota; Metazoa; Chordata; Mammalia; Rodentia; Sciuridae. The record is from RNAcentral.